GUUCGCCAUCCACCAUACAAACAAUGGUCUCCCUGAUUUUACUAGCGAUUAUACGGACAAGCAGUUACUUGAAUAAAAUUCGGAAUACAUGCAGAAAUGACCAGGUAAUUAUGUACUUGCCUGUUAUUUCCAGGGAAUUUUUGAAUGUUUUGACAUUUGAAUUAGGAGUAGUUGUUUAAAACAAGACGUCAGAUGGAUUAUCGAAAGAAAAUUGAAGAAUGUCUAAUUAAUUUGCAACUGAUAAAUUGUAUCUGUGCAGAAAUACCUUCGAUUGACAUGGCUAAUCCUUCUAGUUUAGAGACACUGGAAUUAUGGAGCUCUUCUCCUGACCAGUUGGGAAAGAGUAGAAGGCUCAUAACAAGACAGAUUCCACAAC
Molecule: long non-coding RNA, 376 nt
Filed under: Daucus carota (carrot)
Lineage: Eukaryota; Viridiplantae; Streptophyta; Magnoliopsida; Apiales; Apiaceae
Description: long non-coding RNA (DCAR_LNC007445)
Source: RNAcentral